AUUGAACGCUGGCGGCAGGCCUAACACAUACAAGUCGAACGGUAACAGGAAGAAGCUUGCUUCUUUGCUGACGAGUGGCGGACGGGUGAGUAAUGUCUGGGAAACUGCCUGAUGGAGGGGGAUAACUACUGGAAACGGUAGCUAAUACCGCAUAACGUCGCAAGACCAAAGAGGGGGACCUUCGGGCCUCUUGCCAUCGGAUGUGCCCAGAUGGGAUUAGCUAGUAGGUGGGGUAACGGCCCACCUAGGCGACGAUCCCUAGCUGGUCUGAGAGGAUGACCAGCCACACUGGAACUGAGACACGGUCCAGACUCCUACGGGAGGCAGCAGUGGGGAAUAUUGCACAAUGGGCGCAAGCCUGAUGCAGCCAUGCCGCGUGUAUGAAGAAGGCCUUCGGGUUGUAAAGUACUUUCAGCGGGGAGGAAGGGAGUAAAGUUAAUACCUUUGCUCAUUGACGUUACCCGCAGAAGAAGCACCGGCUAACUCCGUG
RNAcentral lists this ribosomal RNA (490 nucleotides) under uncultured bacterium. RNAcentral describes it as "partial 16S ribosomal RNA". It matches the Rfam family "Bacterial small subunit ribosomal RNA", at positions 30 to 507 of the family's 1533-position model. The record is from RNAcentral.